UACGGAGGGUGCAAGCGUUGUCCGGAUUUAUUGGGUUUAAAGGGUGCGUAGGCGGCUUUUUUAAGUCAGUGGUGAAAUACAGCAGCUCAACUGUUGAGGUGCCAUUGAUACUGAGAGGCUUGAGUACAGAUGAGGUAGGCGGAAUUUAUGGUGUAGCGGUGAAAUGCAUAGAUACCAUAAAGAACACCGAUUGCGAAGGCAGCUUACUAAGCUGUAACUGACGCUGAGGCACGAAAGCGUGGGGAGCGAACAGG
This 254-nucleotide ribosomal RNA is filed under the name uncultured bacterium. Its description in RNAcentral is "partial 16S ribosomal RNA". It matches the Rfam family "Bacterial small subunit ribosomal RNA", at positions 524 to 776 of the family's 1533-position model. The record is from RNAcentral.